CAAAUAAACAAGUCUUACAUAAACUCGAAGCGGACGAAAUCCUCUAAGUCUGAUCUUAUCUUGAGAGUAAUUUCUAAGCUGACUUGCUGAUUAUAAUCUCCUCAUCUUCAUAAAUUUCACUGGAGAAGUUUCAGUUUAUUUACCAGAAAUUUAACUGUCCGAACACUUGGACCUCGAUUCCAAACAUAUGAAUCCGUGAUAGAUUUGGAGUUAUCCACUCUGGAAGGCACAGGCAUGAAUGAAACCUGAGGUUCCAUCUGGUUUAGCAUCUACUCUUCCCUUCUUUCGGGUUGGAUAAAUAUCAGCAAAUCACAGGUGAGGGUAGCAAUAGGAUUGAUGAGAAGCCUUCUGUCUCACCUUGUUGAAAGUGCGGAUUGCUGAAUGUUCAAAGAGAGCUCGAACAAGUUUCCUCAAUCAUUUUGUCUUUCGGUGAAAAGAAUUCCUAGAAUAGAUGAGACAGAAGAUUCGAAAAACUAGCAUAUGGUAUGGUUAUUAGAUAACCACCCUGAUGGUUGGCUAUGCGAUGACACGGAUGCAAUGUGAAGGAUGCACUGCUUGUUUCUGCUUAAGCCAAGGAAACUUCGACAGAAGUAAAACCGCUGGUUUACCGGUCCUUACCUUGUGAAGAUCCCCUUUGUGUUCUUUACAUAAGUAUAAAUGAUAGUUGUGCCUAUGAUACGAGUUAUCUUGGAG
Molecule: long non-coding RNA, 693 nt
Organism: Rhodamnia argentea
Lineage: Eukaryota; Viridiplantae; Streptophyta; Magnoliopsida; Myrtales; Myrtaceae
Exons: 2
Source: RefSeq, a predicted model, not a curated record